This 67-nucleotide transfer RNA is filed under the name Pseudolycoriella sp. XQM-2020. Its description in RNAcentral is "tRNA-Thr". The record is from RNAcentral. Lineage: Eukaryota; Metazoa; Arthropoda; Insecta; Diptera; Sciaridae.
GUUUUAAUAAUUUAAAUAUUAAAAUAUUGAUUUUGUAAAUCAAAUAUAGGAUUUUUCUUUUAAAACU